CAAACAUGGUCUUUUGUUUAUAUAAAAGAUCUAACCUGCCCUAUGAUUAAUUUUAAAUGGCUGCAGUAUUUUGACUGUACAAAGGUAGCAUAAUCAUUUGUCUCUUGAUUGGAGGCUGGUAUGAAUGGUUUAAUGAAAAAUAUACUUUCUUUAUUUUAUAUAAAAAAAUUAAUUUUUUAGUUAAAAAGCUAAGAUGUUUUUAUAGGACGAGAAGACCCUAUAGAACUUUACUGUUAUAUUAUAUAUAUUUUAUAUAUUUUUAUAAAUAUAUAUUUUUAUAUCAGUUUUGUUGGGGUGAUGGAAAAAAAAUAAUAACUUUUUCUAAUUGUUACAUAUAUAUAUGUUUUUUUGAUCCUUUUUUAGGAAAAUAAGAUUAAGUUACCUUAGGGAUAACAGCGUUAUUUUUUCGGAGAAGUUCAUAUUAAUGAAAGAGUUUGCGACCUCGAUGUUGGAUUAAAAUAAGUUUCAGGGGUAUAAUAUUGUUAACUAAGUCUGUUCGACUUUUAAAUUUUUACAUGAUCAUU
RNAcentral lists this ribosomal RNA (524 nucleotides) under Loristes decoratus. RNAcentral's name for it is "partial small subunit ribosomal RNA". It matches the Rfam family "Bacterial large subunit ribosomal RNA", at positions 1810 to 2608 of the family's 2925-position model. The record is from RNAcentral. Lineage: Eukaryota; Metazoa; Arthropoda; Insecta; Hemiptera; Miridae.